Non-coding RNA from Anas platyrhynchos (mallard), 5559 nucleotides. The record is from RefSeq and is a predicted model, not a curated record. Lineage: Eukaryota; Metazoa; Chordata; Aves; Anseriformes; Anatidae.
UUAGAAAAUGGAGUAGGCCUGUUAAGUCUGCUUGUUCUGUGGCAUUAGCUCUCUACCCACGUGUUUUGUAGUGCCUCCCCCAAAAAUGUGGGUAUUGGCUCCUUCCUGGUCUCGCACAGCAUUGCAACAGCUGGCUCCCAAUUUCCUUCUCGUUUUUUCCUCUGGGCAAUGCUGCUGUUAGCUGAGGAUUUCCUGGUGAAAGCUGACACAAGCAUUGGCUUACUUUGGACCUGCCUAGUAUUUGGAAGCUCUCCAUCCAAAGAUCUAAUAUCCAAAACAGGAAGCAGCUUUGACAGGCACAUGCAAUACUACAGACAAACACAAAACAACAUCAUAAACAUUGGCUUUGGACCAGCUUUGUAUGUGGUGGUAAAACAUUUGGUAUUCCACUUAAGAUUUCUACAAGGAAACAUCUGUGAGAUUGUGCCGCAGAUAACACGCAGCGUUUGAUCCAUUUUUGUUCGUCUCGAAAGGCAUUGAGAAGGCUUCAUUCACUUGGGCCUGACUGUAAACCGAAAAUGAGCCUCGUUGUUCCAGCACGGAAAGCCCACGUACUGUAUCUAAGCGUGCUCUGCCAAGAAGUGGUGGUGCAGUGCCUAGGCAGAGAAGCACAGCAAGGAGAUCGCUCCCGUCGCGUCCCUGCCAGGCUGCUCAUCGCUCGCCGUCCACGUUGGUAUUGGACACACUGCCCCCGGUCUUCCAGGGGAGCUCCUGUACUUUGUCUUCUCGUUGUUUGCAUAGAGGCAUCUGCAGUGAAGGACUUCCAUCAGCUGUUUCUUGUAAGGCUUUCACCGUGGUGUAUCUACACAACACAUUGUCUUUGUGCCAGGGGUUUUUGGAGAGCCUGCGACAGAAAGCCCAGGGGUCAGUGUCUGUUUACGCUGGGGCAGUGUGUUUAUGCUAGUUGUUUGCACCAGUGCAAUUAUGGUAUCAACUAAACCCUCAGUGUGCAGAUGGCCUCCAUCUCACGCUGACCAGAUCCAAUCACCGAGCCCUUCACCCUUUGCUGUAAAACAGGCAAGAAGCCACAAUCCCACCGGACAGCGUGGACAGGUGUCUCCCAGCAGCAAAGCCCAGCCUUGAUGAGCACAGACAGCUCCUCCGAGACAGCAGCCAGAAGAUGGUGCUUUGGCUAUUUCCAAACUGUGGAAGACAAGAGCACCCUACUGGUUUGUUGAUGUUUGGACUGCUCUCUGACGGAGAAAUUUGACAGCACUGAGUUAUUUUGUAAUUGAAAGCAAAGUCAGAUGUUAGAGCGAACUGUCAGGAGAGUCUCCUGUUUUCUUCAAAGACUUUAUGCUGAAGAUGUAGUUUGGUUAAAUAUAAUGCAAUGACUCAAGUUAACUAGAGGCAUUUUUUUUAUAUUUUUUUAUAUUUUUUUUUCCUAGAAAACGAUGUGGUGAGAUAGGAUAAGUGGGGGGAAAGAGGGGAAGGACAGAACCACUAAACAUAUGUAAAAUUAGCCUAAAAAACAUUAUGAGAAAAUAAUGAAAGAAAGAAGAGUUGGUGAUAGUAUCUGCUGUGCAGGCCAGCAGUCCCUAAGUUAGUCUUGGCUGCAUUUGCCUUUCACUUCUGUAACCUCCUCGGUCAGUAUGGGAAGGUCCUGAAUCUCCAGCUCCAACAGCUCCCCGGCUCCCACCUGCAGUGCACGAAGCUCGGUGUGGGGCUGUGGAGGCUGAGGGAACCUUGAUCAAAAUCACGUCUCUGCUUUGUCCCCUGCCCGACUUGCCACUGGAGGGAGACAGAUAGCAGGAGUCCAAAGCCUUUGAGAAAGGCAGAAGAGCCAGAAAUGGCAGUGCACGUACAGGCAAGGUUAGUCUGCUGGUGUUUGCUGUCACAGCAGGCACCGUUUAGCUCCAGCUGUAGGAUGGCACUAGGCUGUUUGUAUUUAUGCAAGAAAAGGCUGGAAUUACCUCUUUUUGCAAAAUGAGGUAGAUAGAGCUGUUUGUCAGGCUAGAAAGGAUGGGUCAGUGAGAGCUCCUCCGUGGGCACCUGUUAGCAGAAGGGUUGUUUUCAUCACAUGCAGUGCCUCAAGCCACUUUCUGUACUUGCGUUGUAGAAACGCAGACAGCUAUAAAGAGGAAAAAGAUGUCUGGUGAGAUGUGCAGAGGUAAUGUGGCUGCCCAUAAACCUGUACCUACCUUCACAGUGCUCCAACAGCAACAACAGGGGAUGGGAGGUGCUAUGGGAGUUGACUUCAGCCCUGGAAAAAGUGACCAGGAGCCUUUCUGAUGGCAGAUGGAUGUUCCCAGCUGCAUGCCUGCUGUCUGGUUCACUGCUCUGCAACUGGUGAUCUGGGGAUAUAACAGAAGGAGCUCAUCGGGGUCUAUUCCAAGGUGUUUUCUGGUCUCUUUUUAUUAUGCAGCACUAGUUGAGCUCUGCCAAUUGCUAAAUGAGCUCUGAGAUAUCCCUUCCUCACUUUUUCUUCCUUGUUUUUAAAUAUUUCAUUGCAGUGGCCGCCACCUUCCUGGGAGGGUGCUUGAAUCCCAGCAUCUGGACUGCUCGUAGGCAGGGAGAGAGCCCAGGGACUCAGCUGGGCUGAAGGAGGAGCUCAGUCCUGCGCUCCUCAAUUUGCUGUGUACAGACAGAAGGGAAAACUUCAGGAGACCAGCCUGGGGACGCUUACAGCAAUCUUGGCUGCUUUUGGGAACAGGGGUGCAGUGUGACACGAGCAGCCCAUAGUCCUGGGGCAUGUGCAAUACCGGGAUGUGUGAAGACGUUCCUCUCAGUACCACAGUAAUGACAGCAGCAGAUUCAGGCAAGUGGUAAAUUCAAGGGAUGCUGCUCCUGGAGUUGUGUAAUUACGAUCCUAGGGGAGGGGGGCAGGGCAACGUGAACAGAGAACUAAGCGCUAAGAUAGCUGAGAAAAUAUUUGUUUCAUAAAUCUCCUCUCUCCUCCGUUUGCUGUCACAAAUGUCUAAACAGGAUUUGUGUUCUAAAGAGUCUUUUAUACCCUGUUUAUCCGUGGUAAAGCCAUGCAAAUAAUGGGUUAUUUAGCCUACUGUCAGAACCAGAAAUCACUUAAAUAAUUUCUACCCAACCAGCAUUAAAGUUCCAGAUCUUUUUAAAAGAGAAAAGUAAUAGAAGAAAAAUUCUUACAGCUGAUUAAAAAAAAAAAAAAGGUGCAAAUCCUGCUAUCAUUGGAGGUAUUUUUUUCUCUUUGUAAAUACCACACCUGACAUGCCGGCAGAGCCUGGGACUAUUUGGAACUUCCAUGACAUUUUUGCUUCAGAAAGCUCCAGCCCGAGGCAGGUAAAGCUGUUGUGGCACCUCCAGGCCACUGCAGGAGCACGGUGCAGCACAGCAGGUCCCUGCAGCACCUCACCCGGGCUGCUGACUGCUCCGGUGCUCACCUCGCAUUCCCUCAAGCAGGGCACCAAGGAUUCCCAAGGUUUGUGCUCUUCUGUAAUAAGAAGAAAGCGAAUUUGUUGGGCAUGAUGGUAUCACCAUACUGUCUUGAUGACUAUUUUAUAACUCUCCAUGCCUGUGGUUGGCAACUCCUCUCUUAGUAGGUGGCUUGUCUUGCCUUACACAAUGUCACCUAGCAACUGUUGGCUGAAAAGGAAGAAGAGACUGCCAGUCCUCUGAGCUGGUUGCUGCUCAGAGCAUGUGUAACAAGCCCUUCUGUUGGACGUGAAAGGCUCUCACCUACCUGUCCAAAAUUCACUUAUUUGGAGCAACACCUCCUGGAGUGAGCUGGACAUCUGUAGAAACACAGGCAUGUUCUUGGUGGCAGAAACAUCUGCCUCAGGAGCCACAGAUGGUCCUCACAAUGUCCUAGCUGCUCACAGGAUGGCUGGAAGGUCCUUCCUGUGAGCUUCAGCACAUCGCCCAUCCCUUCCCUGCACGGUGUUGGGAAGCUUUAGGAACCGGAGAAGGCUGCUCGAACUCCAGCAUUGAGGCAAAUGCCUGGUGAGAGGUUUGCAAAACUGCUGGGGCCUGAGUUGUACAGUGUCGUGGCUACCUGCCUCAGGGGUUUGAUGUGUUGGUUCUGCCUUCACUGUCCUGUCUUCCCCACAGCUGAGAAUUUACAACAAAAACAGCUCCAUUUUUAACAUGGGAUUGAGUGGCAACUGUGCUUUGGUCUGCGUCACAUUUAGUUCUGUAAUUAUCACUCGUAGAGGAUUGUACCUGGUAAAUUAGGGCUGGGUCCUUUGCAGAUGUUGGCAGGAACAUUGCAGGAAAGACUGGGUACAGGCCAUGAAAAGGGACUGUCCUGCCAGCUGCCACUUGAGAAAUGAGCUGUCUGAAAGUGAAACACGAGGAUGCUGUAGAUGCAACUUGUCUUCCUGCAGAGUUUCCUAGUGCAGUUGUGCAGGAAGCUGGAACUGCUUCCUAGUGACUCACAAUUCCUGCAUAUUGACACGGUUAUCAAGGUGUUAUUUUUCUGUGUUGUGUUUUUGAUUAUUAAGAAACUUAAAUGGCUGGAGGGAAAAAGCAGGAAAGGAAAAACAAUAGCUCUGAAAUUCUUUGAAUGAAUUCAUGGUGAUAAAAGAGAAUGCUAGCCCACCUCACUCUCUUCUUUUGUAGUCAUCUGUAGCACGUUAUCCUACUGCAGACUUCUACGCUCAGGUGGUGGCCAGAGGACUUCUUGUCUAUGCUCCUGCAUUAAAUAUCACACCAGGAUAUGGUGUUCCUGUAACAGCUACAUACCAUCCAGUCCCAAUGCUGCUAGCUGAGAGUAACAGUAGAAUUUCAUCAACUCCUAAAACAUUUUUUUCUGUUAACAGCCCUGUAAAAAAACAAGAGCCAAAUAUCAGUGUAAUGUGAAAAUCAAGCUAUUUGUAAACAGGGCUCAAAAUGUCUUUAAUGCACUUUCUUAUUAGUGUGGAUGUGAUCCAGUCUGGAUAUAGUGAUGUGCAGAACUGUACACAAGAGCCUCCAGAAAGGUCAAGGUACCCCUGAGUCUCUAAGUGCUGCAUUGAACGGUCACAGCUGGAGGGGGAGAGCUCUUCUGGGCUCUUCUUCAUCUCUUCUGGGAGAUCACUUAGGCUACGCAGUGAACUAGACAGAGCAAAACUUUUCUGCAGAACUGUUUCUAUGGCUCCUGUAUAUGCUGCAAACAAAUUUUAUCAGAGCUCUACAUAUGUUUUUUGCUAUUUGCUGGAGUUUUAAUGCAGGUAGUGGAAUACUACAUGCACCUCUUUGUUGUUCUCCAUUUCUUUCUCUUGUUCCUGGUCUUCAGAAUGAAACUUUGUUGAAACUUUGUUUUAGGAACAUUGGUCUUUGUCAGUUUUUUCCUUUUUUUUUUUUUUUUUCAAAUUAUUGUAAUCAUGAUGUGGUUCUAACAUCAGGAAUUGGUAAAUUGGUAGGCAGAAGAUACCAGCAUCAGCUCUGCUGAGCCUGCAAAGCAAAAAGAAGUGCUUAAAAAUUCAAACUUUGUCAUUUUACAUGUAUUCUUUUGAAUAAUUAAAUUAUCUCUUAUUUCUACCACACAAGAAUGUAACUACAGUAAUACAGAUAAAAACAUUGGUGUACAUUAAAAAAAGGUGAAUUUCCUCACGUUAAUCAAACGUGCAAUAAAGUUGCUUCAGUAAAAUGUUUUCUCUUUCAAGGAAA